RNAcentral lists this ribosomal RNA (332 nucleotides) under uncultured bacterium. RNAcentral's name for it is "bacterial SSU rRNA". It matches the Rfam family "Bacterial small subunit ribosomal RNA", at positions 568 to 899 of the family's 1533-position model. The record is from RNAcentral.
UGUGUAGGCGGUUCUCUAAGUUCGGUGUGAAAUCUCCCGGCUCAACUGGGAGGGUGCGCCGGAAACUGGAGGGCUUGAGUAUGGGAGAGGAAAGCGGAAUUCCUGGUGUAGCGGUGAAAUGCGUAGAUAUCAGGAGGAACACCUGCGGUGUAGACAGCUUUCUGGACCAUCACUGACGCUGAGACACGAAAGCGUGGGUAGCAAACAGGAUUAGAUACCCUGGUAGUCCACGCCCUAAACGAUGCAUACUUGGUGUGAGCCGUUCAGUUCGGUUCGUGCCGGAGCUAACGCGUUAAGUAUGCCGCCUGGGGAGUACGGUCGCAAGGCUAGAA